GAGAAAAACAGGGACCUUGAAGGUCAAGUCCAACCUCCUGCUCAGAAGAAACAACUAAGGAGACUCGUCGCCUAGAACUUGAAGCUGCUUUGUCACAUGAACAACAGUGCAGAACUGGGAAGGUUACCUGGUCCUAAUUGCACAGUGUUUUCCCCCGUGCCCCAAUGAUCAAUUGGAUCACAUAAACAAGGAAAGAGUAUUCCUGCCGCAGGCCAGUCAAGAAUUGCUGAGUAGAUUUGAUCAUGCUAUAAGUCUCCUUGGGCAUCACUGAAUUAUAAAGCAAGACAUAAAUCCUUAAAAUGUUUCCUCUAUGAAAUCAGCAGAGAAACCCAGAGAACCAAGAGUGCUCCCAAAGUCAUCCCAUCAACUUUUGGAUAAACUAUUUCAUGGAGUGCAAUAGUUUACUCAUAUAUGUAUCCAAUGCUUUUUUUUGUAAAAAAAAAAAAAAAAAAAGGUGCUGGAACUCACAUAUGUCAUACAACCGGCCUUGCCUACCCUACAAGGUUCCAUCCCAAAAAGUUGCCGGAACGUUCUGGGCGUUCUAUGACAAAAAAAGAGGCCUGUAUGUAUCUUUGAUCUCUAAUGGGAUACUUAGUAUUGAUGUUGAAAAAUGAUUGGUUUUGCUGUGAUCCACUAUUCUCACCAAUUUUUACUUAGCAAUGUCAUCCUGAUUCAGUAGGUCUAGAGUAAAGUACAGUAUAGUAAGGGGGGGGAAUCCUCAUGCUUCUGCCUGGAACCCCAACUAUUUACACUGUGUGUACACAUAUCUGUAAAUUCAUGUUAUGAACAUUUCUUUUUAUAAUUGUGCCCUUGAAACCAUUAUUUUUUUUAAAGAGACUCUAUGGGAGGGACCUACUGUUAUCUUUAGCCCCAGAUAAAUUUAGUUACUGUUUUUAGUUUGGACAAAGCUGUAUUUUGGAAAACUAUCUUUGUUUUUAAAAGCUUGAGAAACCAUUGCCAGACAAACAAAACAAUUAACCUUGAAUUAUUAUUCAAUUCACCUUUCAGUUUGCUAAUAUUUCUACUCAGAAAAGCCGAAUAAUAUUUCUGGAUUAGGUUCCAUUUUAUGACAAAAUACAUUCAUAAUAUGUGAUAAAAUGUUAUAAUUUUAUGAAGUUUUUCUGACAUUUCAGAUCAUUUGCCCUAUAAUAAAAUUUCAGGUAGAUUAAUUGAUAACAUAAAAAUCUUACAAUACUGUUCAUUUAAUUAUAUCUGAACCUUUAACAUUAGUAAUCUAAAUUGUGAAAAAUGUAUUUCUGCACAUAGCUGAAAUUUAGAAAUUGUCUUUUUUUAACAUGCAUUUUAUCUAACCUGAGACUGUUCAUAUAGCAUUAAAAUCUAUAUCUGAAAGUGAAAAA
Molecule: long non-coding RNA, 1358 nt
Organism: Crotalus tigris (Tiger rattlesnake)
Lineage: Eukaryota; Metazoa; Chordata; Lepidosauria; Squamata; Viperidae
Exons: 2
Source: RefSeq, a predicted model, not a curated record